CUAAUUUUGAGAGGCAAGUGAUGGCAACAUUUCCUGGAUCAAUUCCUCCUGCCUUAAGGAUACUCCACUGAAUUUGAUUAUGAUACUCCCUGCAUGGCAAGCUUAUGUAUGUGCUCACUCUAAAGCUCGAGAGCUGGAACUCUCUCCCACCAGGAGAAGGCACCUCAGUUAGGACCAUGAGGGAACUCUGUCUAAGUAUCUUGAGACAACGGCCAGCUUACAGUCUAGCUCUGCCCACAUGGCGCCAGCUCAAUCACCCAGUAGAUAAGGUAUUCAAGCCAGUCACAUAGACCCUGCACCUGCUCGCUUCUUCCCCUGCAUGCCAUUCAUGCCAAGUCCCCCUUUAAAAACCCUUGCUUUUUGUCCCAAAAGGGAAACAGUACCUUAAAGGCAGGAGCCUGUACUUAUUCCCCUAAGCUAGCUUUGGGAUAAAGUCACUUUAUUUAUACCAGACCUCACAUUUGUGAAUUGGACUCUGCAAGCAGCAAACGACUAAACUUGUGUUUUCGAUAUAUUACCAGGUUUGUGUUAAGACUACUAAAGAAUACAAAAAAGCAACCCCCCUCAAAAAAAAAAAAAAAAAAAAAAAAACACACACACACAGUUUUGUCUCCCCUUUGCCUACACUGAUGAAGAUUUUUACAAGCCAUGAAAUUUCCAGUAGGUGAGGAAGUCUGGAGGGAGAAGAUAGAGGAGAGGGCCUGGGUAAAUCAGAAAGCAACUGCAUCUUCUGUCUUCUUGGCAAUACUGGAUUCCUCCUCCUUUAAGAGGAACCACCAUUAAACCAAAACAAAAAGCACAGCUUAUUAAAAAACUGCAGAAGAGGACAUUGUGCAUUGCAGGCUGGCAAAGUAUGCCAGGAUUGGACUGCCUUCACUAAGUCAAGCUCUGCCAAGAAGUCGUUUUUAAUAUUAUUCAGAAAUUAUCUUUUGGCUUCAAUUCAGAUCAUCAUAAAUGCCAAAUCUUGUAGCCCAAAUUGAUGAUGAUUUGUUGUUACAUUUCCUGGUAACUCGGCACUUAAUCUUGUUGGAGACAGACUGGAAGUGUUUUGUUUGUUCCCUUUUGCUUGCUCAUGACCCAACCCACCCCAUGCCUCUCCACCCUACUUACCCCAAAAGAGAGAGAAGACUAACAGAACCAGGGUGGUUUUAGUGGUGAGGAAGUAGGCUUAAGUUAGUAAUAGAAGUUAUAAAAAGUAGAUUUCAGUAUAAUAGAUAAAGUAGAUAAGAUGGCUGCUUAUGUAGCUUUGGCUAGUGGAGACUUAGGGUGAAGCCGAGCUGACUGAUAGUGAUGUGCUGCAGGCUAGGUAGUUUGGGCUGCUUACAAAUCUGGUACUGAUUGACAGGAGUUAGAACAAUACUCAGCUUGAUUUUUCUCAAUUCAUAUUAAAGGCUAAAGAUAUGGCCUUAUCAUAUAUCCCUUGUUCUUAGCACAGUCUUCAUAGUAUUGGGAAUGACAUCUAUUCUUCAGUUCUAAGGAAAGAGUUGUGCCAGUAAGAUGAGUUAUAUAUUUGCAUUUCAAACCUUUUUUUGCAGUCUUCCCUCAGGCCUUGUUCAUUUGGACCUGUGAGUUUAUAAGCUUGUACUUCAUCACACAAUUGCAUUAAAAGGUGAAAUUACCCUGAGUAUCAAGACAGUAAUUCCCAUCCAGAAAGUUUUUGGAAAAAUUAUAAUCUUUAUACCUUUUUUUGAGCUACCUUGGGCUAAGAGCACUGUUAAAUACAGUAAGAAGUUAUUCUUCAAAGGUGUAGCUUUUUUAAGUUUCCUUAUUCUUUAUUCCCUGCUUUCAAGGCCAGACUUCCUUACUAUCGCUGUCUCCCUGCUCUGGUCACAGCAAGCAACUUCCCAGCCAGUCCUUAUCUAUAGGGCCCACAUUCUACUCCCUCUGCAAAUUACCCCUCCUGCCAGAAUAGUUUCUCCCACCGAAACUGUCCUUGCCCCUAGUGUAACCCCCUCUCUGCACCCUUCAAAUUAGCUAACCAGGACCAGUUUAGAUUGUGUGGUCCAGCUGCAGCCAAUGGAGACAGGACACAGUAGUAGAAACCCAUUGUGUUAGAAAUAAAAACCUCUUGCUUUCCAUUGUUCAUGGUGCUCUUGCCAUUGCUCUAUCUGUGAGAUGCACCCUUCUAUGGAAGUAAAUUUGCCUUGCUGAGAAAAUUUAUGUUUGAGUUCUAUUUCUUUUGUAGCACCAAAAUUUGUUUCUAACAAGCACCUCCAGUCAUUGCUGCCUCUGCUGUACUGGCUUUCUCAGACCUAGUGUCCUGUUGCUAGUUUCUCAGAACAGUAUUUAGAACUUCUGCUCAUAGGGUAUUUUUUAAAAUCAUUGAUUGUUUUGUCUGUUGCUUGUGUUGCUUCUUUUGAUCAGGGUCACAGGAGACCUUAGUGGCCACUGAAUGGCAGAAUUUGAAAAAUCUUUGUGGAUAUGUGCAUACUUUAAAAGAACUCUAAGCUGAAAUGCAUGUCAACCUUGAAACCAAAUUUCCUAAUUGCUCCGGUGAUUUAAAUUUGUAUUAGUUUCACUUCAGUCUGUUUGUGAGUCCUCAUUUAAUAGGCCCUAAGAGAUGAAGUGAUUUGCCUUGGGUGACCCAGCAAGUCAGCUGCAUAUUCAACUAUUAUUUAUCUAACACCCAAACACCACAGGGG
Long non-coding RNA from Sapajus apella (tufted capuchin), 2642 nucleotides. RefSeq lists it as uncharacterized. The record is from RefSeq and is a predicted model, not a curated record. The transcript is spliced from 3 exons. Lineage: Eukaryota; Metazoa; Chordata; Mammalia; Primates; Cebidae.